UGCGGGCGUAGGAAACUUGAGGGGAGCUGCCCCCAGUACGAGAGGACCGGGGUGGACGGAUCUCUAGUGUGCCAGUUGUCCCGCCUAGGGGCAUCGCUGGGUAGCUAUAUUCGGAUGGGAUAAGCGCUGAAGGCAUCUAAGCGCGAAGCCCACCCCAAGAUGAGGUUUCCCAUCCUAGCGGAACUUCGGUUCCGUCAUGGAGUAAGACCCCUUCGAGAUCAGGAGGUUGAUAGGCCGGAGGUGUAAGCACGGCAACGUGUUCAGCUUACCGGUACUAAUCGGUCGAGGACUUCAACUC
RNAcentral lists this ribosomal RNA (298 nucleotides) under bacterium. RNAcentral describes it as "partial 23S ribosomal RNA". It matches the Rfam family "Bacterial large subunit ribosomal RNA", at positions 2646 to 2925 of the family's 2925-position model. The record is from RNAcentral.